RNAcentral lists this ribosomal RNA (905 nucleotides) under Inocybe pudica. Its description in RNAcentral is "LSU rRNA". It matches the Rfam family "Eukaryotic large subunit ribosomal RNA", at positions 72 to 954 of the family's 3401-position model. The record is from RNAcentral. Lineage: Eukaryota; Fungi; Basidiomycota; Agaricomycetes; Agaricales; Inocybaceae.
GGAUUCCCCUAGUAACUGCGAGUGAAGCGGGAAAAGCUCAAAUUUGAAAUCUGGCAGCUCUUUGAACUGUCCGAGUUGUAAUCUAGAGAAGUGUUACCUGUGUUGGACCGUGUACAAGUCUCCUGGAAUGGAGCGUCACAGAGGGUGAGAAUCCCGUCUUUGACACGGACUGCCUGCACGUUAUGGUGCGCUCUCAAAGAGUCGAGUUGUUUGGGAAUGCAGCUCAAAAUGGGUGGUAAAUGCCAUCUAAAGCUAAAUAUUGGCGAGAGACCGAUAGCGAACAAGUACCGUGAGGGAAAGAUGAAAAGAACUUUGGAAAGAGAGUUAAACAGUACGUGAAAUUGCUGAAAGGGAAACGCUUGAAGUCAGUCGCGUCGGCUAGAAAUCAACCUUGCUUUUGCUUGGUGUACUUUCUUGUUGACGGGUCAGCAUCAAUUUUGACCGUCGGAUAAAGUCAUUGGGAAUGUGGCAUCUUAGGAUGUGUUAUAGCCCAUUGUCGCAUACGACGGUUGGGAUUGAGGAACUCAGCACGCCCGCAAGGGACGGGUUUUUUGACCACGUUCGUGCUUAGGAUGCUGGCAUAAUGGCUUUAAUCGACCCGUCUUGAAACACGGACCAAGGAGUCUAACAUGCCUGCGAGUGUUUGGGUGGAAAACCCAUGCGCGCAAUGAAAGUGAAAGUUGAGAUCCCUCCCUCCAGGGGGGAGCAUUGACGCCCGGACCAGACCUUCUGUGACGGAUCCGCGGUAGAGCAUGUAUGUUGGGACCCGAAAGAUGGUGAACUAUGCCUGAAUAGGGUGAAGCCAGAGGAAACUCUGGUGGAGGCUCGUAGCGAUUCUGACGUGCAAAUCGAUCGUCAAAUUUGGGUAUAGGGGCGAAAGACUAAUCGAACCAUCUAGUAGCUGG